RNAcentral lists this ribosomal RNA (254 nucleotides) under uncultured bacterium. Its description in RNAcentral is "partial 16S ribosomal RNA". It matches the Rfam family "Bacterial small subunit ribosomal RNA", at positions 524 to 776 of the family's 1533-position model. The record is from RNAcentral.
CACGUAGGGUGCGAGCGUUGUCCGGAAUUAUUGGGCGUAAAGAGCUCGUAGGCGGUGUGUCACGUCGGCCGUGAAAACUUACAGCUUAACUGUGAGCGUGCGGUCGAUACGGGCAUCACUGGAGUUCGGCAGGGGAGACUGGAAUUCCUGGUGUAGCGGUGAAAUGCGCAGAUAUCAGGAGGAACACCGGUGGCGAAGGCGGGUCUCUGGGCCGAUACUGACGCUGAGGAGCGAAAGCGUGGGGAGCGAACAGG